RNAcentral lists this unclassified non-coding RNA (233 nucleotides) under uncultured fungus. RNAcentral describes it as "sequence contains ITS1". The record is from RNAcentral. Lineage: Eukaryota; Fungi.
GUAUUGUAUUGCGUUAGACGCGUCAUGCAUUCCAUGAAACUUCAUUACAGUGUGUGUGUAAAGACAUAGAACCGCAGCAAGAGGACGGGUGCCCCCCAGGCCACAGAACUACAGCGGGUGCACAGGUGUGAGUGGAUGUGUAAACAGAGUGUGCACAUGCCCCCGUUUGAGGACCAGCAACAACUCGUGUCGACAAUUCGGUAAUGAUCCUUCCGCAGGUUCACCUACGGAAA